CCUACGGGUGGCAGCAGUGAGGAAUAUUGGUCAAUGGACGCGAGUCUGAACCAGCCAAGUAGCGUGAAGGAUGACUGCCCUAUGGGUUGUAAACUUCUUUUAUAAAGGAAUAAAACGAGGCACGUGUGCCUUUUUGCAUGUACUUUAUGAAUAAAGAUCGGCUAACUCCGUGCCAGCAGCCGCGGUAAUACGGAGGAUCCGAGCGUUAUCCGGAUUUAUUGGGUUUAAAGGGAGCGUAGAUGGGUUGUUAAGUCAGUUGUGAAAGUUUGCGGCUCAACCGUAAAAUUGCAAUUGAUACUGGCAGUCUUGAGUAUAGUUGAGGGAGGCGGAAUUCGUGGUGUAGCGGUGAAAUGCUUAGAUAUCACGAAGAACUCCGAUUGCGAAGGCAGCUUACUAAACUGCGACUGACAUUGAUGCUCGAAAGUGUGGGGAUCAAACAGGAUUAGAUACCCGGGUAGUC
This 460-nucleotide ribosomal RNA is filed under the name uncultured bacterium. Its description in RNAcentral is "partial 16S ribosomal RNA". It matches the Rfam family "Bacterial small subunit ribosomal RNA", at positions 338 to 795 of the family's 1533-position model. The record is from RNAcentral.